Molecule: non-coding RNA, 47 nt
Organism: Colinus virginianus (northern bobwhite)
Lineage: Eukaryota; Metazoa; Chordata; Aves; Galliformes; Odontophoridae
Source: Rfam
ACAAAGGCCCUUUUCAGGGCCACUCCAUUGCUCACUGGGAGAGCUGU